This 406-nucleotide ribosomal RNA is filed under the name uncultured bacterium. Its description in RNAcentral is "partial 16S ribosomal RNA". It matches the Rfam family "Bacterial small subunit ribosomal RNA", at positions 28 to 526 of the family's 1533-position model. The record is from RNAcentral.
GAUGAACGCUAGCUGCAGGCUUAACACAUGCAAGUCGAGGGACCGGCGCACGGGUGAGUAACAAGUAUCCAACCUGACCUUUACUGUGGGAUAGAGUUUCGAAAGAAAGGUUAAUACCCGAUAUAAAGGAUGGGGAUGCGGUCCCUUAGGUUGUUUGUGAGGUAACGGCCCACCAAGCCUUCGAUGGAUAGGGGUUCUGAGAGGAAGGUCCCCCACAGUUGAACUGAGACACGAUCCAAACUCCUACGGGAGGCAGCAGUGAGGAAUAUUGGUCAAUGGGCGCUAGCCUGAACCAGCCAAGUAGCGUGAAGGAUGAAGGCUUAUGGGGCGUAAACUUCUUUUAUAUAAGAAUAUGUAUUAUAUGAAUAAGGAUCGGCUAACUCCGUGCCAGCCGCCGCGGUAAUAC